RNAcentral lists this ribosomal RNA (420 nucleotides) under bacterium. RNAcentral's name for it is "partial 16S ribosomal RNA". It matches the Rfam family "Bacterial small subunit ribosomal RNA", at positions 355 to 776 of the family's 1533-position model. The record is from RNAcentral.
UGGGGGAUAUUGCACAAUGGGCGAAAGCCUGAUGCAGCGACGCCGCGUGGGGGAUGAAGGCUUUCGGGUUGUAAACCUCUUUCGCUAUCGAACAAGGCCCGCUUAGGGUGGGUUGAGGGUAGGUGGAGAAGAAGCGCCGGCUAACUACGUGCCAGCAGCCGCGGUAAUACGUAGGGCGCGAGCGUUGUCCGGAAUUAUUGGGCGUAACGGGCUUGUAGGCGGCUUGUUGCGCCUGCUGUGAAAACGCGGGGCUUAACUUCGCGCGUGCAGUGGGUACGGGCAGGCUUGAGUGGGGUAGGGGUGACUGGAAUUCCAGGUGUAGCGGUGGAAUGCGCAGAUAUCUGGAGGAACACCGAUGGCGAAGGCAGGUCACUGGGCCAUUACUGACGCUGAGGAGCGAAAGCAUGGGUAGCGAACAGG